This 405-nucleotide ribosomal RNA is filed under the name uncultured bacterium. RNAcentral describes it as "bacterial SSU rRNA". It matches the Rfam family "Bacterial small subunit ribosomal RNA", at positions 355 to 774 of the family's 1533-position model. The record is from RNAcentral.
UGGGGAAUAUUGGGCAAUGGGGGAAACCCUGACCCAGCAACGCCGCGUGAGUGAAGAAGGCCUUCGGGUUGUAAAGCUCUGUCGCAGGGGACGAAACAAAUGACGGUACCCUGUGAGGAAGCCCCGGCUAACUACGUGCCAGCAGCCGCGGUAAUACGUAGGGGGCGAGCGUUGUCCGGAAUUACUGGGCGUAAAGGGUGCGUAGGUGGCUUGUUAAGUUGGAUGUGAAAUCCCCGGGCUCCACUUGGGUGGUGCAUUCAAAACUGGCGAGCUAGAGUGCAGGAGAGGGAAGCGGAAUUCCUAGUGUAGCGGUGAAAUGCGUAGAUAUUAGGAGGAACACCAGUGGCGAAGGCGGCUUUCUGGACUGUAACUGACACUGAGGCACGAAAGCGUGGGGAGCAAACA